GAUGAACGCUGGCGGCGUGCCUAAUACAUGCAAGUCGAGCGAACGUACGAGAAGCUUGCUUCUCUGAUGUUAGCGUCGGACGGGUUAGUAACACGUGGAUAACCUACCUAUAAGACUGGGAUAACUUCGGGAAACCGUAGCUAAUACCGGAUAAUAUUUUGAACCGCAUGGUUCAAUAGUGAAAGCCGGUCUUGCUGUCACUUAUAGAUGGAUCCGCUCUGCAUUAGCUAGUUGGUAAGGUAACGGCUUACCAAGGCAACGAUGCAUAGCCGACCUGAGAGGGUGAUCGGCCACACUGGAACUGAGACAAGGUCCAGACUCCUACGGGAGGCAGCAGUAGGGAAUCUUCCGCAAUGGGCGAAAGCCUGACGGAGCAACGCCGCGUGAGUGAUGAAGGUCUUCGGAUCGUAAAACUCUGUUAUUAGGGAAGAACAAAUGUGUAAGUAACUGUGCACAUCUUGACGGUACCUAAUCAGAAAGCCACGGCUAACUACGUG
This 497-nucleotide ribosomal RNA is filed under the name uncultured bacterium. RNAcentral's name for it is "partial 16S ribosomal RNA". It matches the Rfam family "Bacterial small subunit ribosomal RNA", at positions 28 to 507 of the family's 1533-position model. The record is from RNAcentral.